GCUGAAGUGGUGGAAUUGGUAGACACGCUGGACUUAAAAUCCAGUGAGCUGUAAGGCUCGUACGGGUUCAAGUCCCGUCUUCAGUACUA
Molecule: transfer RNA, 89 nt
Filed under: Lutibacter sp.
Lineage: Bacteria; Pseudomonadati; Bacteroidota; Flavobacteriia; Flavobacteriales; Flavobacteriaceae
Description: tRNA-Leu
Rfam family: tRNA
About the family: Transfer RNA (tRNA) molecules are approximately 80 nucleotides in length.
Source: RNAcentral